This 2959-nucleotide long non-coding RNA is filed under the name Zea mays. RNAcentral's name for it is "long non-coding RNA (ZMAY_LNC005412)". Lineage: Eukaryota; Viridiplantae; Streptophyta; Magnoliopsida; Poales; Poaceae. The record is from RNAcentral.
UAAUCUGAUUUGAUCCUGAAAGUUUGUAGUGUAAAAUUUAGAGCCCAUUAUCACUCUAGUUGUGGGCACGUGAGACUUCCCGGCGCACCCAUCUUGCCAGCGCCACCAUCGUCGUCGUAACAUAACUCUGCACGCUCAUCCGCGGUUAUCGAGGAGUUCAAUCGACCGGGUUCUUUCUUCCCCCUCGUUCUCGGACUCCUCUGGCCUAGGAGUAUAAGACCCGAAGCACCCUGACCCCCUCCAUUCUGCAUAUGCGCAAAGAAACCAAGCUACCAUGGAUCAAACACACACAGAUACAGAGAAGUAGUGAAGAGUGGCCGUCGUCAUGGAUGUGUGCUUUCACCAUCGUCAGGGUCAGGGAGACUCGCCCUAUCCCGGCGGAUGUUUCCGUGGCGUCGUUGGGCGGAUAGGGCCACCUGCUCCGACUGAAUUGCUCACCGGAGUAUCAAACCCGCCGCAGAUCGACCUGCGCGCGUGGACUACGUCAUCUGUGCCUAUACCGUCGGUGAGGAUUUUCUUUCCUAGUCCGUUAUCGUCUACUCAUUGUGCAUCAUCUUUCGGAUUGGAACCUCGUGCGUAGAAUUGAGAUUGGGCAAAAUGCCAGUGAGGGCGCCGCCGUGGGUGGUGACGGACCACCGUGGGGCCCGGUCGGGGCGAAGAAGAAUGGCCCUGACCGUUGAUUAGGGACUGAACGGUCCCGAUUAGAUCGAGGAGUAUCGUUUCGGGUAUUUGAUCUGGACCGUGGGCUUUGGAUCCAAGGGCUAGAACAGUUUAAAGUAGGAGAGGGAUUUCUAGCUGUGGAUGUUUGAUCCUAUGGUGUCCGUCGCGUACCAAUUCAUUAAAAUGUUAGAUCUAAUCUGAGCCAUCGAUCAACAAUCGGACGAUUCACAUCUCUGCGAACCCCUUCAUCGCGUUCCAAUUAUAAAAGAGACCCUAGACUUUCCAAUAACUAACCCACCGUCCAUUUUUAUGUGGAAAGAAAAUAAAAUUAAAUGAAGACUUUGCAUAUUUCCCCUGGAGUUUAUUUUAGGCAUAAAAAAUAACACAGAAGUGCAUAAAAACUUAGGAAAAUCAUAACUUAUCCAUUUUAAUUCUGAUUGACCAGUUCCAAUUGCAUUAGCUUCAUAAAAAUAUUUCCUAUGCAGUAACAACAUCAUUUAUACCAUAUCACAUAUUUGUAUAAUUAUAUGUUUAUUUGACCUAUGUUUAUUAACUCUUCUAAUCAAAAGUUAACAUGCCCGUAAUUAUAAUUUGACCGUAAUUUGCUCUCUAAUCAAGUUAUAACUCAGAUUUAAGUUAAAUUGGCUAUGUCUUUGUAAACUUUUCUCACAUUGUAUUUAGUCACCUAAAACUUCGGAAAUUCAUAUCUUUUUAACCAUAACUCUGAUUGUAAUGGUUCUCGAACCUACGAUCUCAUAGCGACGCGUAGAAUAUUCUUACAUAGUUUGUUCUUAUGCUUUGGUGUAAUGUUAUCAUAUCCAUUAUUUGCUUGAUUGUAUGUCUUGCUACGAGUAGAUGCGAGGUGACGAUGAACUUGAAGUCCAACCUUUGGGUCAACAUCUGAACUACAAGGUUAUCUCAAGUAUAAGGUAAGUUGUGCCCUUGAUCACUCUUAUUUAUCUAAUAAUGUUCCUGUUAAUCACUGUGACAUGCUCAGGUUAAUUUGAUGGGACCUAAUAGGUUACCCUAGUUUUGUUUACCCCACACCUUUCAAACAAAUGAAUUAUUGGGUAGAUUGGCUAUGCUCUACCUGGUUUUUGGGAAGUAAUGCUAUAUGACAUAUGAUCAUGCUUUAUCAUUGUUACUAGAUUAUUUAUUGUUCAUGACAAGAAUAUGGUGUUAAUUGGAACAUUGAGCUUAACUUGAGAUAACAGUGCUACCACAAGGUAGGAAUGGGACGCCCUUGGCUGGCUAAUUAGGAAAGCUAGUGGAGGACUACCUUACCCGAAAGGGGCAAGGGAGAUAGUGGAGUUACCGGUGUAAGAACGUUCUCGGGUCGAUCUUGCUGCGAUAGCUUUUCGGACAAGGGAUUGCUAUAUCGCUCUUCUCCCGAAAUCAUAACGGGUUUUCUGAAGCUAGUGAAAGUUUGUAAAGAUCUCGUAGUGGAUGCCUAGCCAUUCACCUCGGGAGUGUCUAAGGGCCUUGCAAACUCUGGCUAGACAUGAUACACGACUUGUGGGUAAAGGACACAACCUCUGUAGAGUGUAAAACUGAUAUAUCAGUCGUGCUCACGGUCAAGAGCGACUCAAAACUCUUGCAUGAUUAAUUUAUGAAAUUAAACUUAAUCUGGCAUUUGCAUUGCAUUGUGUGAUUUAUUAUCAAUUGUGAUCAAUUAUUUAAUUGGGAUGGUAUCUACUUAUACUUAGUAACUGCUAAUAAAAUUUUGACCAACUUUUUAAAAGCAAUGCUCAGGCUUAACCAUUCUUCUUGGUAAGCCUUACACUUCACAUGAGCCCCACCGUAAGUGAGAUCAUGCACAUUAUUUCCCACAUCUUGUUGAGCAAUGAACGUAUGUGAGCUCACCCUUGGUGUACUUACCCCUAGGUCAAGGACAGGUACCACAAGGUAAGGAGCAUGAAGGAUGUCGCGAUAAGUUCGUGAGAGGUCUAGGCAGUCGUCUCCCAGUCAACUAUGGUUGCGGAGGAUCGCUGUGUUCAUCUGAUGUAAUUAUUUAGUUCUUUUGUAUAGAACUCCUAUAAAGUAAUAAAGAUGUGACAUUUCUUUCUGUACCAUGAGUCAUCAUAUGUGUGAGACUUGAUCCUAUGUAACGCCCUGAAUUUGGGGGGGUAGAUUUUUUUCUUCUUUUCACUAACCAAAUUCGGGCGUUACUCUCUUUUCUCUUUCCGUUUCUCUCCUUCUUCCCAAUUUCAAACUAGUAUAAUGACGGGUGUCCGUGUCAUGUAUAAACAAAACCUAAGUGUCAUGAGUAUUGCAUCAUGCCGAAGCAUAUUUCUUUGUC